GAUUGAACGCUGGCGGCAGGCCUAACACAUGCAAGUCGAGCGGUAACAGGGGAGCUUGCUCCCGCUGACGAGCGGCGGACGGGUGAGUAAUGCCUAGGAAUCUGCCUGGUAGUGGGGGAUAACUCGGGGAAACUCGAGCUAAUACCGCAUACGUCCUACGGGAGAAAGUGGGGGAUCUUCGGACCUCACGCUAUCAGAUGAGCCUAGGUCGGAUUAGCUAGUUGGUGAGGUAAAGGCUCACCAAGGCYGCGAUCCGUAACUGGUCUGAGAGGAUGAUCAGUCACACUGGAACUGAGACACGGUCCAGACUCCUACGGGAGGCAGCAGUGGGGAAUAUUGGACAAUGGGCGAAAGCCUGAUCCAGCCAUGCCGCGUGUGUGAAGAAGGUCUUCGGAUUGUAAAGCACUUUAAGUUGGGAGGAAGGGUUGUAACCUAAUACGUUGCAGCUUUGACGUUACCGACAGAAUAAGCACCGGCUAACUUCGU
This 486-nucleotide ribosomal RNA is filed under the name Pseudomonadaceae bacterium 'ARUP UnID 548'. RNAcentral's name for it is "bacterial SSU rRNA". It matches the Rfam family "Bacterial small subunit ribosomal RNA", at positions 27 to 506 of the family's 1533-position model. The record is from RNAcentral. Lineage: Bacteria; Pseudomonadati; Pseudomonadota; Gammaproteobacteria; Pseudomonadales; Pseudomonadaceae.